GAUGAAGAACGUAGCGAAAUGCGAUAAGUAAUGUGAAUUGCAGAAUUCAGUGAAUCAUCGAGUCUUUGAACGCACAUUGCGCCCCCUGGUAUUCCGGGGGGCAUGCCUGUCCGAGCGUCAUUGCCGCCCUCAAGCACGGCUUGUGUGUUGGGCCCCCGCCCCCCGGCUUCGGGGGGCGGGCCCGAAAGGCAGCGGCGGCACCGCGUCCGGUCCUCGAGCGUAUGGGGCUUCGUCACCCGCUCUGUAGGCCCGGCCGGCGCCCGCCGGCGACCCCAAUCAAUCUUUCCAGGUUGACCUCGGAUCAGGUAGGGAUACCCGCUGAACUUAAGCAUAUCAAUAGCGGAGGA
This 347-nucleotide unclassified non-coding RNA is filed under the name soil metagenome. RNAcentral's name for it is "partial contains 5.8S ribosomal RNA, internal transcribed spacer 2, and large subunit ribosomal RNA". The stretch from base 1 to 120 matches the Rfam family "5.8S ribosomal RNA", at positions 35 to 154 of the family's 154-position model. The record is from RNAcentral.